GCGGUGUUAGCUCAGCGGGAGAGCACUUGCUUGACAGGCAAGGGGUCACUGGUUCAAUCCCAGUACAUCGCA
This 72-nucleotide transfer RNA is filed under the name Bacillus subtilis. RNAcentral describes it as "tRNA-Val". It matches the Rfam family "tRNA". From Rfam's summary of the family: Transfer RNA (tRNA) molecules are approximately 80 nucleotides in length. Their secondary structure includes four short double-helical elements and three loops (D, anti-codon, and T loops). Lineage: Bacteria; Bacillati; Bacillota; Bacilli; Caryophanales; Bacillaceae. RNAcentral also lists the same sequence under 8 other names. The record is from RNAcentral.